Non-coding RNA from Cinara cedri, 257 nucleotides. The record is from the annotation of a GenBank genome assembly. NCBI's taxonomy places the organism in Eukaryota, Metazoa, Arthropoda, Insecta, Hemiptera, Aphididae.
AACUAGAAUCUCAUUCAAUACGAUGGCAGACGGUGGUAAAUGUGUUCACUAAUUAUUUUAGUUGGGUAGGUACAUAUUGAAAAAAAAAAAAAAAAAAUGUUCUCCAUUGGAAGACGGAUAAACACAGAAUCAUGGAUAUAUUGGAACUUAGAAGACGAUGAUAUUAUAUUCAUAACUAAACCAAAUCCAACCUAAAAACAUCGAUAAUACAGUCUGAUGUAUUUUCAAAGGAGGUCAAAAAGAACUGAUUAAACCCA